GAUCAUGGCUCAGGAUGAACGCUAGCUACAGGCUUAACACAUGCAAGUCGAGGGGAAACGACAUCGAAAGCUUGCUUCCGAUGGGCGUCGACCGGCGCACGGGUGAGUAACGCGUAUCCAACCUGCCCACCACUUGGGGAUAACCUUGCGAAAGUAAGACUAAUACCCAAUGGUAUCUCUAGAAGACAUCCGAAAGAGAUUAAAGAUUUAUCGGUGAUGGAUGGGGAUGCGUCUGAUUAG
This 240-nucleotide ribosomal RNA is filed under the name uncultured bacterium. Its description in RNAcentral is "partial 16S ribosomal RNA". It matches the Rfam family "Bacterial small subunit ribosomal RNA", at positions 15 to 244 of the family's 1533-position model. The record is from RNAcentral.